Molecule: ribosomal RNA, 424 nt
Filed under: uncultured Lactobacillus sp.
Lineage: Bacteria; Bacillati; Bacillota; Bacilli; Lactobacillales; Lactobacillaceae
Description: bacterial SSU rRNA
Rfam family: Bacterial small subunit ribosomal RNA
Source: RNAcentral
GGAAUCUUCCACAAUGGACGCAAGUCUGAUGGAGCAACGCCGCGUGAGUGAAGAAGGCUUUCGGGUCGUAAAACUCUGUUAUUGAAGAAGAACGUGCGUGACAGUAACUGGUCAUGCAGUGACGGUAUUCAAUCAGAAAGUCACGGCUAACUACGUGCCAGCAGCCGCGGUAAUACGUAGGUGGCAAGCGUUGUCCGGAUUUAUUGGGCGUAAAGCGAGUGCAGGCGGUCUUUUAAGUCUGAUGUGAAAGCCUUCGGCUUAACCGAAGAAGGGCAUCGGAAACUGGGAGACUUGAGUGCAGAAGAGGAGAGUGGAACUCCAUGUGUAGCGGUGAAAUGCGUAGAUAUAUGGAAGAACACCAGUGGCGAAGGCGGCUCUCUGGUCUGUAACUGACGCUGAGGCUCGAAAGCGUGGGUAGCAAACA